UACGUAGGGAGCGAGCGUUAUCCGGAUUUAUUGGGUGUAAAGGGUGCGUAGGCGGUUUCUUAAGUCUGUAGUCUAAGCCCGGAGCUUAACUCCGGUUCGCUACAGAAACUGAGUUACUUGAGUAUGGUAGAGGCAAGUGGAAUUUCUAGUGUAGCGGUUAAAUGCGUAGAUAUUAGAAGGAACACCGGUGGCGAAGGCGACUUGCUGGGCCAUCACUGACGCUGAGGCACGAAAGCGUGGGGAGCAAAUAGG
RNAcentral lists this ribosomal RNA (252 nucleotides) under uncultured bacterium. RNAcentral's name for it is "partial 16S ribosomal RNA". It matches the Rfam family "Bacterial small subunit ribosomal RNA", at positions 524 to 776 of the family's 1533-position model. The record is from RNAcentral.